RNAcentral lists this ribosomal RNA (485 nucleotides) under uncultured bacterium. RNAcentral describes it as "partial 16S ribosomal RNA". It matches the Rfam family "Bacterial small subunit ribosomal RNA", at positions 30 to 506 of the family's 1533-position model. The record is from RNAcentral.
AUUGAACGCUGGCGGCAUGCCUUACACAUGCAAGUCGAACGGCAGCACGGGUGCUUGCACCUGGUGGCGAGUGGCGAACGGGUGAGUAAUACAUCGGAACAUGUCCUGUAGUGGGGGAUAGCCCGGCGAAAGCCGGAUUAAUACCGCAUACGAUCCACGGAUGAAAGCGGGGGACCUUCGGGCCUCGCGCUAUAGGGUUGGCCGAUGGCUGAUUAGCUAGUUGGUGGGGUAAAGGCCUACCAAGGCGACGAUCAGUAGCUGGUCUGAGAGGACGACCAGCCACACUGGGACUGAGACACGGCCCAGACUCCUACGGGAGGCAGCAGUGGGGAAUUUUGGACAAUGGGCGAAAGCCUGAUCCAGCAAUGCCGCGUGUGUGAAGAAGGCCUUCGGGUUGUAAAGCACUUUUGUCCGGAAAGAAAUCCUUGACUCUAAUACAGUCGGGGGAGGACGGUACCGGAAGAAUAAGCACCGGCUAACUACGG